This 215-nucleotide ribosomal RNA is filed under the name uncultured fungus. RNAcentral describes it as "partial small subunit ribosomal RNA". The stretch from base 40 to 215 matches the Rfam family "Eukaryotic small subunit ribosomal RNA", at positions 686 to 864 of the family's 1831-position model. Lineage: Eukaryota; Fungi. The record is from RNAcentral.
GGGUCAGUAGGUUGGUCGUGCCACUGGUAUGCACUGGCCUUACUGAUUCCUCCUUCUUGAAGAACUGUGAUGUCAUUUACUUGGUGUUGCAGGGAAACAGGACUGUUACUUUGAAAAAAUUAGAGUGUUUAAAGCAGGCUAACGCUUGAAUACAUUAGCAUGGAAUAAUGAAAUAGGACCUUGGUCCCAUUUUGUUGGUUUCUCGGACCACGGUA